This is a long non-coding RNA of Hemicordylus capensis (graceful crag lizard), 307 nucleotides long. RefSeq lists it as uncharacterized. NCBI's taxonomy places the organism in Eukaryota, Metazoa, Chordata, Lepidosauria, Squamata, Cordylidae. The transcript is spliced from 3 exons. The record is from RefSeq and is a predicted model, not a curated record.
ACAAACUAAGGAAAAGGCUUUCUUGUCUUCUGUAGGUGGCUGACCCUGUAAGUGGUCUGCUGGGAGAGCCAGAAGCCAGUAUGUGGUUCAGGUCACGCUGAAGUCAAGGUCCAGAGCAGCGAAUGAAAACUGGAGGGGCCAGAAGCCGGUCUAUAGUCAACAUUAUGCAGAUGAUCAGGUUCCAACAGAAGAUUUUUAAUGCCCAAUAGCCAGAUCAAUAAUUUGAAAAUGACAUCAUGUCCAAUGAAAGAGAAGCAGAAGAUCUUGUUCAGAUUCAAAUGUGCUAUGAUUCAGAUUUAUUAUGUAA